CUCUUCCCAAACCUUGAUAAAGUGGUUUUCUUGGAUGACGAUGUUGUAAUUCAGCGCGACUUGUCUCCAUUGUGGGACAUUGACCUUAAGGGAAAGGUGAAUGGAGCUAUUGAGACCUGUAAAGGAGACGAUGAGUGGGUGAUGUCAAAGCGAUUCAGAAACUACUUCAACUUUUCUCAUCCUCUCAUAGCAAAACAUUUGAAUCUUAAGGGAAAGGUGAAUGGAGCAAUUGAGACCUGUAAAGGAGACGAUGAGUGGGUGAUGUCAAAGCGAUUCAGAAACUACUUUAACUUUUCUCAUCCUCUCAUAGCAAAACAUUUGAACCCUGAAGAGUGUGCAUGGGCUUAUGGGAUGAACGUCUUUGACUUGCAUGCAUGGAGAAAGACAAAUAUAAGAAACACUUACCAUUCAUGGCUUAAAGAGGUAGUCCAAUCCCACAUACUUCAUGAUUUUUAGCUAAUUUUUAGUUGUAUGAAUUCCUACACCUAUGGAUUAGUUUUCUAACCAUGCAAUAUGUGUAAUUAUUUAUCAUUCAAUGAAUGACUCUUUUUUCAUUUCUUGUAUGUUUCUUGCUUAUGUAUCUCGUCUAUUUUGUGACUUAUUUAGCUUUUCGUUCUGAAAUUUUCUUCU
RNAcentral lists this long non-coding RNA (630 nucleotides) under Nicotiana benthamiana. RNAcentral's name for it is "long non-coding RNA (NBEN_LNC034497)". Lineage: Eukaryota; Viridiplantae; Streptophyta; Magnoliopsida; Solanales; Solanaceae. The record is from RNAcentral.